RNAcentral lists this microRNA precursor (98 nucleotides) under Marmota monax (woodchuck). The record is from RNAcentral. Lineage: Eukaryota; Metazoa; Chordata; Mammalia; Rodentia; Sciuridae.
AGGAUAACUGGGUCACAUGGUGGUUCCACUCUGUUUUCUGAGGAAUCUCCAUAUUGCUUUCCAGAGUAGUUGUACCAAUUUGCAGUUCCACCAGCAAU